RNAcentral lists this ribosomal RNA (275 nucleotides) under uncultured prokaryote. RNAcentral's name for it is "partial 16S ribosomal RNA". It matches the Rfam family "Bacterial small subunit ribosomal RNA", at positions 524 to 798 of the family's 1533-position model. The record is from RNAcentral.
UACGUAGGGGGCGAGCGUUGUCCGGAAUGAUUGGGCGUAAAGGGCGCGUAGGCGGUCUGUUAAGUCUGGCGUUAAAGCCUGGGGCUCAACCCCAGAUCAGCGUUGGAUACUGGCAGGCUAGACGGUUGGAGAGGCGAGUGGAAUUACCAGUGUAGCGGUGGAAUGCGUAGAUAUUAGGAGGAACACCAGUUGCGAAGGCGGCUCUCUGGACUGUAACUGACGCUGAGGCACGAAAGCGUGGGGAGCAAACAGGAUUAGAUACCCCGGUAGUCCCU